CGAAAACGUCAAGAUUCCGUCAAAAGUUGACGUUAUCAAAAAAAGUGUUUUAAAUACAAAAAUUUGAUAAAAGGACUACACGGCAACGAAAGCAGCCGAUUUGAGGGAAAUCCAAAAGCUGAUAAAACCACCUUCAACUCCUCCAGAACAUGUUCAAGUUCGAAGUCAAGGGAAUCAACUAGAGUGGGAAACCUUUAAAGAGAUGAGAUUUUUUGAUGAGAUUCUUUGUCUUUUGGAUGCUACCAACGAAUUAAUUCGAGCUUUUUCCAACAUGGAACGACCCGUGGAACUAUGGGAUGAUUGGUUUGUACAUCUUCUAGUGCAUAAGCUUGAUCCAUGCACUAGACAAAAAUGAGAAACUUCUUUAAGGGAAGAGAUCGAAUGCGAGAAUAUUUUUCAAGAUACUCAUUAUCGAAACGAGAAAGGUCAAUACGUAGUUCAACUACCCAAACUCCAAUCACCUGAUCUAUUAGGUCGAUCUAAGGAACCAGUGGCUUCAAUGUUCAAAAGAAACGAAGCUCAACUUUCAAAAGACCCAGUUGCCAAAGCUAAGUACAAUACAUUUAUGCAAGAGUAUCUUUCAUUGAAUCAUGUGGAGCCUGCAUCUUCAAAAGAUCAAAAUUACCCUAAGCCAAACUAUCUUCCGCAUCAUGUGAUCUUUA
Molecule: long non-coding RNA, 662 nt
Organism: Leptopilina heterotoma
Lineage: Eukaryota; Metazoa; Arthropoda; Insecta; Hymenoptera; Figitidae
Exons: 3
Source: RefSeq, a predicted model, not a curated record